RNAcentral lists this ribosomal RNA (1360 nucleotides) under uncultured bacterium. RNAcentral describes it as "16S ribosomal RNA". It matches the Rfam family "Bacterial small subunit ribosomal RNA". The record is from RNAcentral.
GAACGAACGCUAACGGCGCUCUUAACACAUGCAAGUCGAAUGGUGCUUAGUAAUAAGUAACCAUGGCAAACGGGUGAGUAACACGUGGGAAUAUACCUAUAAGAGGAGGAUAAAUCGAGUAAUUUCUUUAGAAUACUCCAUAGUUCCGAAAGGAUAAAGGCUUCGGCCGCUUAUAGAUUAGCCUGCGCAAGGUUUCUAGUUGGUGAGGUAAAGGCUCACCAAGGUAUAACCUUUAGUUGGUCUGCGAGGAUGAUCAGCCACACUGGAACUGAGACACGGUCCAGACUCCUACGGGAGGCAGCAGUGAGGAAUAUUAGGCAAUGGGGGAAACCCUGACCUAGAGACGCCGUGUGAAGGAAGAAGGUCUUUGGAUUGUAAACUUCUGUCGUGGGGGAAGAUAAUGACUGUACCCCAAAAGGAAGUACCGGCUAACUCUGUGCCAGCAGCCGCGGUAAUACAGAGGGUACUAGCGUUGUUCGGAAUUAUUGGGCGUAAAGGGUGCGUAGGCUGUCUUUUUAAGUCAAUUGUGAAAUUCUGGAGCUUAACUCCAGCGCUAUAAUUGAUACUAUAAGACUAGAAUAUGGAAGGGGUAGAUGGAAUUUCCAGUGUAGGAGUGAAAUCCGUAGAUAUUGGAAGGAACACCAGAGGCGAAGGCGAUCUACUGGGACAUUAUUGACGCUGAGGCACGAAGGCGUGGGGAGCAAACAGGAUUAGAUACCCUGGUAGUCCACGCAGUAAACGAUGAGAGCUAGGUAUUGGAGAUUAAUUCAGUGCCGCCGCUAACGCAGUAAGCUCUCCGCCUGGGGAGUAAAAUCGCAAGAUUGAAACUUAAAGGAAUUGACGGGGAUUAGAACAAUUGGUGGAUUAUGUGGUUUAAUUCGAAGGUACACGAAAACCUUACCAGCUUUUGACAUGUUAGUCGUAGAGAUAAGAAACUAUCUCGUCGGUUCGGCCGGACUAACACAGGUGCUGCAUGGCCGUCGUCAGCUCGUGUCGUGAGAUGUUGGGUUAAGUCCUAAAACGAGCGCAACCCCUAUCCUUAGUUGCUAACAGGUAAUGCUGAGUACUUUAAGGAGACUGAUAGUGAUAAGCUAUAGGAAGGUGGGGAUGAGGUCAGGUCCUUAUGACCCUUAUAGGCUGGGCUACACAUGUAAUACAAUGGUGACUACAGAGAGAUUUUAUAGCAAUUCGGCAACGAGGAGCAAACUCUAAAAGUCAUCUCAGUUCGGAUUGGUCUCUGCAACUCGAGACCAUGAAGUUGAAAUCAAUAGUAAUCGUAGAUAAGUAACGCUACGGUGAAUACGUUCUCUAAUCUUGUACACACCGCCCGUCGCGCCAUGGGAGUUUGUUCUAUCUAAAG